GAUCUUUCUAAUAUACUUGUACAUGUUUUUCUUACCCUGGAGUUUCACCUUGGUGCUUUUUUUUCCACCUUUCCUGGCUAAAUGCUCAGCCUAUUCUAUCUUGACUUACAGGUCUUUUAUUGCAGUUUCAUAGUUCUUCUUAAUCUUUUCCAGGUGCACACAAUGAUCCUGCUCCUGACACAGAUCUUUUGCCACACAGGAAACCUGUGAGGAAGGCUGCCUUUCUAAAGACCGGACCCACCGUUCACUGAAAGGAAUGGAAGUAAUCCUGGCUGACUUGGACAACUCUAGGUCAGACCAUAAACUAGGUGGUGGUAUGCUCACUCAGUACCACUGGAGUAGUCGAAGGGUGUUUUAUGAACUCAACUGCUGGAGUGUAGCGACAAGAGGCUGAAAUGGAAAGACCGUCUAGCGAAGCCCUCAUUCCAAGUCACGCCUUUGGCUGCGCCCUUCUUGCCAAGGUGGACCAGCAAAUUUCAUCAGUAAGAGGAGCGGAUAUUUGGCAGACAAACCUCAGACUGAAUCCUCGGAAGAAGCAGCCAUGUUGGUGAUGGAAUUAAAAUUUCAUUUUAAAAUCGUUUCUAGGCUCGAUGGUAAUGAUGAAUAAAUUCUGUGUGUUUGCUACAAGCAGAGAGGAUAACGACUACUGUGUCACAGUCUUGCUUGCUUCAGUUGCUCAGUGGAUGUGAACUGCCCCAAAAGACAACUGCUUCUCUAUCAGCUUGAAGUAUUUCUCUCCUAUAUUUGCCUCAGCUGGAGUGUCUGGGAUGUGGUUACUCUGCAAGCAUUGCCGUGGUGGGUGUUUCGGGUGAAUACGCUUAGGAUAGAGUUUCCAGGCAGGAAGAUUCAGAUAAACAGCCACUUUGAGGUGAAAAUUAGAGAGUUCAUGUUACACCCACCUCUUGAAUUUGUAACUGACUAUUCACCCUGAAAAUCUGAUUCUAAGAACUCAGCAUGUCCUGUCAGGAGCAGAAUAAUACCACAGAAACCGUGGCCAGACUGAGUCUUGAAUAUUGAGAAUUGUGAUUAACUUCUCAGGAAUGUAUCCGGAGCAAGUCAUACUUUCUGGGCUUUUUUAGCUAAUUAUUUCAAACCUUGAAUCUGUGAAUGGUGAUUGUAAACAGUUCUCAGACAAACAUCUUAGAGAAAGACGUG
Molecule: non-coding RNA, 1155 nt
Organism: Phalacrocorax carbo (great cormorant)
Lineage: Eukaryota; Metazoa; Chordata; Aves; Suliformes; Phalacrocoracidae
Source: RefSeq, a predicted model, not a curated record